This 165-nucleotide ribosomal RNA is filed under the name Triticum aestivum (bread wheat). Its description in RNAcentral is "rRNA LSU_rRNA_eukarya". It matches the Rfam family "Bacterial large subunit ribosomal RNA", at positions 1036 to 1202 of the family's 2925-position model. Lineage: Eukaryota; Viridiplantae; Streptophyta; Magnoliopsida; Poales; Poaceae. The record is from RNAcentral.
CAGCUAAGGCCCCUAAAUGACCGCUCAGUGAAAAAGGAGGUGGGGGUGCAAAGACAGCCAUGAGGUUUGCCUAGAAGCAGCCACCCUUUAUAGAGUGCAUAAUAGCUCACUGAUCGAGCGCCCUUGCACAGAAGAUGAACGGGGCUAAGCGAUCUGCUGAAGCUG